CGCCGUAAGCCCAAGGUUUCCUGUUCAACGUUCAUCGGAGCAGGGUGAGUCGGCCCCUAAGGCGAGGCAGAGAUGCGUAGCUGAUGGGAAGCAGGUUAAUAUUCCUGCACCGUCGUAUGAUGCGAUGGGGGGACGGAUCGCGGAAGGUUGUCUAGCUGUUGGAAUAGCUAGUUUUUGACUCAUAGAAGGUGCUUAGGCAAAUCCGGGCACGUAAUUCAAGGGGUCGAGACGAGUCGCCACGUGCGACGAAUCAAUCGGAAGUGGUUCCAAGAAAAGCCUCUAAGCUUCAGUCAUACGAGACCGUACCGCAAACCGACACAGGUGGGCGAGAUGAGUAUUCUAAGGCGCUUGAGAGAACUCGGGAGAAGGAACUCGGCAAAUUGGUACCGUAACUUCGGGAUAAGGUACGCCCUAGUAGUUUGACCACUUUACUGUGGAAGGAUGAACGGGUUGCAAUAAAAUGGUGGCUGCGACUGUUUAAUAAAAACACAGCACUCUGCAAACACGAAAGUGGACGUAUAGGGUGUGACGCCUGCCCGGUGCUGGAAGAUUAAAUGAUGGGGUGCAAGCUCUUGAUUGAAGUCCCAGUAAACGGCGGCCGUAACUAUAACGGUCCUAAGGUAGCGAAAUUCCUUGUCGGGUAAGUUCCGACCUGCACGAAUGGCGUAACGAUGGCCACACUGUCUCCUCCCGAGACUCAGCGAAGUUGAAAUGUUUGUGAUGAUGCAAUCUACCCGCGGCUAGACGGAAAGACCCCAUGAACCUUUACUGUAGCUUUGCAUUGGACUUUGAAUCAAUCUGUGUAGGAUAGGUGGGAGGCUUUGAAGCGGGGACGCCAGUUCUCGUGGAGCCAUCCUUGAAAUACCACCCUGGUUCAUUUGAGGUUCUAACCUUGGUCCGUUAUCCGGAUCGGGGACAGUGCAUGGUAGGCAGUUUGACUGGGGCGGUCUCCUCCUAAAGUGUAACGGAGGAGUUCGAAGGUACGCUAGGUACGGUCGGACAUCGUGCUAAUAGUGCAAUGGCAUAAGCGUGCUUAACUGCGAGACCGACAAGUCGAGCAGGUACGAAAGUAGGACAUAGUGAUCCGGUGGUUCUGUAUGGAAGGGCCAUCGCUCAACGGAUAAAAGGUACUCUGGGGAUAACAGGCUGAUUCCUCCCAAGAGUUCAUAUCGACGGGGGAGUUUGGCACCUCGAUGUCGGCUCAUCACAUCCUGGGGCUGUAGCCGGUCCCAAGGGUAUGGCUGUUCGCCAUUUAAAGUGGUACGUGAGCUGGGUUUAAAACGUCGUGAGACAGUUUGGUCCCUAUCUGCCGUGGGCGUUGGAAAUUUGAAGGGGGCUGCUCCUAGUACGAGAGGACCGGAGUGGACGAACCUCUGGUGUACCGGUUGUCACGCCAGUGGCAUUGCCGGGUAGCUAAGUUCGGAAGAGAUAACCGCUGAAAGCAUCUAAGCGGGAAACUUGCCUUGAGAUGAGAUUUCCCGGAGCCUUGAGCUCCUUGAAGGGUCGUUCGAGACCAGGACGUUGAUAGGCUGGGUGUGGAAGUGCAGUAAUGCAUUAAGCUAACCAGUACUAAUUGCCC
This is a ribosomal RNA of Massilia timonae, 1579 nucleotides long. It matches the Rfam family "Archaeal large subunit ribosomal RNA", at positions 1423 to 2973 of the family's 2987-position model. Lineage: Bacteria; Pseudomonadati; Pseudomonadota; Betaproteobacteria; Burkholderiales; Oxalobacteraceae. The record is from Rfam.